This 87-nucleotide ribosomal RNA is filed under the name uncultured bacterium. Its description in RNAcentral is "partial 16S ribosomal RNA". The record is from RNAcentral.
CACACCAUGGGAGUUGAUUGCUCCAGAAGUGGCUGCGCUAACUCGCAAGAGAAGCAGGUCCCCAAGGAGUGGUCGAUGACUGGGGUG